Molecule: long non-coding RNA, 1555 nt
Filed under: Pomacea canaliculata
Lineage: Eukaryota; Metazoa; Mollusca; Gastropoda; Architaenioglossa; Ampullariidae
Description: uncharacterized LOC112570522
Source: RNAcentral
UAUAAAGCAUAUGAGCAUUAAUGGUCAAAAUGACUGCUAUGUCAUUGUGUGCUGCAGGAGAAAAGAAGGAAAAAAAAGACAAUACCUGAACUGUUUGAACACUAUAACAUGUCAUUAAGCCACAAAUAGUGUAACUUUGGUUGUGAUUUUGCCCUAUAAGAGUGAAAGUGACUAAAGUGAUUAUAUUAAAGUGAAAUUUAUGCUGUGCUUUUGAUCUUGAUUUGUGAAAUCUUAUUUGCCUACUUUUUUAAAUAUUUAUUUCCAUACAGAUAGUGUGGCUUUGGUUAUGGUGUUCGUCCUGCCAGCACAGGGACCCACAACCCCUUGGAAGGUAAACAAGAUAAACUACGGAAAGCUGUACAGCAUAUACUGUCUCUUCUGGAAGAGAUGAAAACUGAUGUGAAAGAUGUGAAAAAUAGGCUUGCGCAGAUGGAGUACCAAACCCAAGAAAAGGAGCUGACAUCUGCCACAAGGGUUACAGUUUCCCUUAAAAUCUUCAAAGGAUGUAGAACGUCUCGAGCUGGAUUUAAAGACAGAUCUAGGAAAACGAACACGAAUUGGAAUGCUAUUUGGCAAUGCGUGGGGGAUUCAGUUUAAAGCAUAUCGUCAGGGACAAACGGUCUCUGCUAUUUUCAAAUAAAUUAGCCCGGUCUUACAACUUCCAUGGUCUGAAGGGAAAGAAGGGACUCAAGAACCACCCCUUUCUUGUACAAACAGUUCAGGAUGCUGCAAGAAAAACUUGCCCUCAAGCUACUGAAGCAGAACUGCAGAUGCAGAUCUCUAGCUGGUUAGCUGGUGCUAGGAAUUGAGAGAAUGGCAGAAGGGAAAGGGCACCUGAGCACAGACUGUUAAAGUCAGUAAAUAGUUCUGGGGUGGGGAACGAAUUGGAGGACAAGUAAAGCUGUACAAUUUUUGCAUAUUUAAAAUUAGUUUUUUAAUUAACAAUUUCAAUAAACAUCAGAAAACGACAAAUCAUGUUUGUUUUUUGUAACAUUUUGUUUGGCAUUUAUAGGGUUAUUUUGAUGCAUUUGAUAUUAUUGGUUUUUCUAGGAAUUUUGGCAUAUCCUGAUUUAAAAACAACGUAAAUCAGAAUAUGCCAAAAUACCUAAAAUUACCAAUAAUAGCUGGAAAUCUAGGUAUCUAGGUUCACAUGGGCUUCCCAUAUAGGAAGCCCAUCUCGGCCCACGGUCGGACCUGUUUGCGCUUUCGGCGGUUGGGCCGAUAUAGGCUUCCCAUAUGGUCAUAAGAUAGCUCAUAUGGGUCCUAUAUGGGACACACAUGGGUCCUAUAUGGCCUCUCCUCCAAAUGCUACUAGGGAUAUUUAAUCAUAUGUUAGAGCAGUUAUCACUAAAACAAAGAUUAUAAGGAUGGACACAAAAAGGAAACAAACUACAACACUGCACACCUUAUCAAACUUUUUCAAGAUAUUUUGUUUGACUGAGUCAUUCACAAGUUCGUCUGCGUCUUCCGCUUGUCCCAGUUGUACACUCUUUUCUGCUUCAUCUCGCCCUUCGCAUUCUUUGUGCGAGGCCCUUUGUGGUGUAAACUUUAGCUG